GACGAACGCUGGCGGUGUGCUUAACACAUGCAAGUCGAACGGUAAGGCCCUUUCGGGGGUACACGAGUGGCGAACGGGUGAGUAACACGUGAGUAACCUGCCCUCAUCUCUGGGAUAACAGUCGGAAACGGUUGCUAAUACUGGAUAUGAGCCUGCAAGGCAUCUUGUGGGUUGGAAAGAUUUUUUGGUUGGGGAUGGACUCGCGGCCUAUCAGCUUGUUGGUGAGGUUGUGGCUCACCAAGGCUUCGACGGGUAGCCGGCCUGAGAGGGCGACCGGCCACAUUGGGACUGAGAUACGGCCCAAACUCCUACGGGAGGCAGCAGUGGGGAAUAUUGCACAAUGGACGGAAGUCUGAUGCAGCAACGCCGCGUGCGGGAUGACGGCCUUCGGGUUGUAAACCGCUUUCAAUUGUGACGAAGCUUUUUGUGACGGUAGCAGUAGAAGAAGCACCGGCUAACUACGUG
RNAcentral lists this ribosomal RNA (465 nucleotides) under uncultured bacterium. RNAcentral's name for it is "partial 16S ribosomal RNA". It matches the Rfam family "Bacterial small subunit ribosomal RNA", at positions 28 to 507 of the family's 1533-position model. The record is from RNAcentral.